This is a non-coding RNA of Danio rerio (zebrafish), 334 nucleotides long. Lineage: Eukaryota; Metazoa; Chordata; Actinopteri; Cypriniformes; Danionidae. The record is from RefSeq and is a predicted model, not a curated record.
AUCUGGAGCCGCGACAACUGGCUCAGGUGAGCUGCGGUUGUGUUUUCAAGCCCUCAGUUCACGGCGGUCAGUUUGGCAGCCAUGAUGAAAUCAUCAUACCAGAGUCUGAAAUGCAGAGAGUCUUUACUUUAGGCCAUAAGGAAGUGAUGCUGAUUCAUACGUACUACAGUAACCUGGCUGAGAUCUUGUCCAGACUGGAGGUCAAAACCACUGCUGAACAACUGACAGACGGCAAGAGGCAUCACACUGGUCAGCUGGCCACAGCAGUGAUCUCAGCGACAGUGCGGGAUGUUCCCAGAGCAGAAAAUAUUCCUGUGUCUGUCCAGUAUACUUU